UUAUCUUCUCAUAGCAGUUGAAACAAACCUGAACUUCCCUUGCUUAUCCAUUCUUGUCCUAGUAGCUUGACAGUCUUGCAGUAAUUUCAGCAUGCAAUUCAUAUGACAGAAGUUGUUUCACUUGUAUGGAACAACUUGCACAACAUGUUUCAUUCGCAUGUCUAUGAUCAAAACAAACAUGCCCUAACACAAAAACAGCUUGUACUCAAA
Molecule: long non-coding RNA, 210 nt
Filed under: Capsicum annuum
Lineage: Eukaryota; Viridiplantae; Streptophyta; Magnoliopsida; Solanales; Solanaceae
Description: long non-coding RNA (CANN_LNC000186)
Source: RNAcentral